Long non-coding RNA from Oreochromis niloticus (Nile tilapia), 1312 nucleotides. NCBI's taxonomy places the organism in Eukaryota, Metazoa, Chordata, Actinopteri, Cichliformes, Cichlidae. The record is from Ensembl.
AUGAAAUGAAAAGACACAAUAACAGUAUUAUAACACCAACAAAAACAAGUCCUUUAAUCAGCACACUGUAAAAUGUAAUUCUAGAUGUUUGUUAUUUCAACAUAUUAUUCUAUAUCAGUUUGACGAUAGAUGACUGAAGUUGUUGUUAUAACAUAGAAUUACAAGUUAAAAACGUCCCAAUUACACCAAAAAAAGCUAACUUGAAAACUCAUGUCCAGCUAAAUCAGCAACUUAUGUGAACUUGACAAUGUGGGUAAGUUGAGCACAGCAAGAUUCAAAACUGCCUCACGUGACUGCUACCGAGGUGCAUCAUGGGGAAUUGGCGGUUAACCACAUGCUCACUUUACUUGGACGUUUUCUAAUCGUCUUCUUUGGAAUAUGCUUUUUAGGUCUGUGAAGCCAAACUUGAUGCUGGGGAUUUAUUUUUGUCAGUGGAGUCAAAUGGUAAGUUACAAUUUGUGCAUUUUGUCAUACUGGAAACACCACAGAUUAUAUUGUAAAUUAAUAGCUCUGUAGAACAAAUGAUAUAAAGAUUGUAGUGUCAGGGUACUUCUUAAGAAGUAAUAUGGCACUAUUGAUGAUCGCAUGCAGGUGGCAUAAACUAAAUAUUCAGACGUGCUACCAACAAAUGAUUCAUUAACAAAAGCAAUGGAGCAGACUGUUUUGGUUCUUGUGGUUGUAAUAACAUCCAUAACUGCAAGUUUGUCAUUAAUUUAUUUUCACAGGUCUAGAUGAUCACAUCUGACUUUGUCAUUUAAAUGAGGUGGACUUGCAAACUUUGCGCUCUUUUGGGUAAAUUGCUGUCCACUACAUAUACACAGAAUGUGCACAGUAUUUCAGAUCUAAAAAGGGAGUAUGUAAUGGACUUGCUGGCUUUAAUGUAAAAAGCCUGUUGUGUAACUUUAAUGAGGCAGUUGGACUAAAACAGUAUUGCUCAUCAAGGUAAACAUCUGAGGAAUAAGGAAACUGUUACUUGUCCUUUUACUCAGUGUUCUUUUAAUCGCACAUUUACUAAAGUUUUACAUCACAUAAGUCAUUUUCACAAUCAUUCUACUUUAAAAGAUUUCAAGACAGAGCUUAUUGUUCUCUGAACUUCCUUGUUUGCUGAACGGCAGGUAAAGUGCAUCUUUUUGUUUGUUUGCUUUUGUGUGUUUGUGUUUUCUCUAAUGGGCCUCAGAUGACUGUUUGCUUAAAUUUGGGUCUCAAAGAAUCUUUUUUUAUAUUCUGCCUGUACUCUCCACCCCUCUUCUUCUAUUGCUCAGGUUGAAGCAGAAUUUGCCCGUCUUACAUCUGUUGACCUGAAAGGGUUCCU